This 253-nucleotide ribosomal RNA is filed under the name uncultured bacterium. Its description in RNAcentral is "partial 16S ribosomal RNA". It matches the Rfam family "Bacterial small subunit ribosomal RNA", at positions 524 to 776 of the family's 1533-position model. The record is from RNAcentral.
UACGUAGGGGGCAAGCGUUGUCCGGAUUUAUUGGGCGUAAAGAGCGUGUAGGCGGCCAGGCAGGUCCGUUGUGAAAACUCGAGGCUCAACCUCGAGACGCCGAUGGAAACCGUCUGGCUAGAGUCCGGAAGAGGAGAGUGGAAUUCCUGGUGUAGCGGUGAAAUGCGCAGAUAUCAGGAAGAACACCCGUGGCUAAGGCGGCUCUCUAGUACGGUACUGACGCUGAGACGCGAAAGCGUGGGGAGCGAACAGG